UACCCNGNNGNAAACUAAGCAUAUCAAUAAGCGGAGGAAAAGAAACCAACAGGGAUUGCCCUAGUAACGGCGAGUGAAGCGGCAACAGCUCAAAUUUGAAAUCUGGCUUUCGGGUCCGAAUUGUAAUUUGUAGAGGAUGCUUUUGGCGCGGUGCCUUCCGAGUUCCCUGGAACGGGACGCCUUAGAGGGUGAGAGCCCCGUACGGUUGGACACCAAGCCUCUGUAAAGCUCCUUCGACGAGUCGAGUAGUUUGGGAAUGCUGCUCUAAAUGGGAGGUAAAUUUCUUCUAAAGCUAAAUAUUGGCCAGAGACCGAUAGCGCACAAGUAGAGUGAUCGAAAGAUGAAAAGCACUUUGAAAAGAGGGUUAAAUAGCACGUGAAAUUGUUGAAAGGGAAGCGUUUGCGACCAGACCUUUUCCUAGCGGAUCAUCCGGUGUUCUCACCGGUGCACUUCGCUAGGUUGAGGCCAGCAUCGGUUUCUGUAGGGGGAUAAAAGCUUGGGGAAUGUAGCUCCUUCGGGAGUGUUAUAGCCCCUUGCAUAAUACCCUUACGGGGACCGAGGACCGCGCUUCGGCAAGGAUGCUGGCAUAAUGGUCGUCAACGACCCGUCUUGAAACACGGACCAAGGAGUCGAACAUUUGUGCGAGUGUUUGGGUGUCAAACCCUCACGCGUAAUGAAAGUGAACGGAGGUGAGAGCCCUUACGGGUGCAUCAUCGACCGAUCCUGAUGUCUUCGGAUGGAUUUGAGUAAGAGCAUAACUGUUNGGACCCGAAAGAUGGUGAANUANGCGUNNANNNCNNGANNCCANANGANNUUCCGUUNGNNUAGGCAUUCCUUCNCNUNAGCANNNNNGUUCCCUCANGNNAGCANCNCCGUUCCNUCANGAUCGCAGUAC
RNAcentral lists this ribosomal RNA (895 nucleotides) under Abieticola koreana. RNAcentral describes it as "partial 28S ribosomal RNA". It matches the Rfam family "Eukaryotic large subunit ribosomal RNA", at positions 24 to 861 of the family's 3401-position model. The record is from RNAcentral. Lineage: Eukaryota; Fungi; Ascomycota; Sordariomycetes; Xylariales; Xylariaceae.